AACGUAGGAGACAAACGUUAUCCGGAGUUACUGGGCGUAAAGGGCGUGUAGGUGGUUUCGUAAGUCUGGCGUGAAAUUUUUCGGCUUAACCGGGAAAGGUCGUCGGAUACUGCGGGACUGGAGGACGGUAGAGGCGUGUGGAAUUCCGGGUGUAGUGGUGAAAUGCGUAGGGAUCCGGAGGAACACCAGUGGCGAAGGCGGGUCUCUGGGCCGAUACUGACGCUGAGGAGCGAAAGCGUGGGGAGCGAACAGG
RNAcentral lists this ribosomal RNA (253 nucleotides) under uncultured bacterium. RNAcentral's name for it is "partial 16S ribosomal RNA". It matches the Rfam family "Bacterial small subunit ribosomal RNA", at positions 524 to 776 of the family's 1533-position model. The record is from RNAcentral.